RNAcentral lists this transfer RNA (94 nucleotides) under Mycolicibacterium fortuitum. RNAcentral's name for it is "tRNA-???(tgag)". The record is from RNAcentral. Lineage: Bacteria; Bacillati; Actinomycetota; Actinomycetes; Mycobacteriales; Mycobacteriaceae.
CGAGGCCCGGGUGAACGGCACGAGCAUUCGGGCGUUGAGUGGCUCGAUGGUGGCCUACGAAGGCAACGUGUCGUUCAAGUCAGCGGGUUUCGGC